GCAGUUUAAACGAUCCGGUUGCAAGAGAUAAAAGAUGCUAAAUGUGAAGCGCUGACACGAUAAACAGCGAACAAUGUGCCACACAUCGAAAGAAUGGUCUAAAAGUACCGAUGCAAUGGACAAUACUAUUCAAUUUAUAAAGAUGAAGAGGCCUUUUAUGGCCCAGGAAUCGUUGAUUACAGAAAAUCUGUUACAACUCACUUUGAUUGUACAGUGAAAGAGGGCUUUGAUAGCACAUCGGCCAAUUUAAAAUAAAGUAUUCCUGUCGACAAAGCAGUAAAAAAUUAUUAGGCACUAGCUAUAAGUGAAUGUAUUAUUGAGAUGUGUGCUAACAGGAUCCUUC
Long non-coding RNA from Trachymyrmex septentrionalis, 343 nucleotides. RefSeq lists it as uncharacterized. The record is from RefSeq and is a predicted model, not a curated record. Lineage: Eukaryota; Metazoa; Arthropoda; Insecta; Hymenoptera; Formicidae. The transcript is spliced from 3 exons.